UGCGAUGUCCCAAUGGACAUGUUCUCCUGU
Molecule: non-coding RNA, 30 nt
Filed under: Mus musculus (house mouse)
Lineage: Eukaryota; Metazoa; Chordata; Mammalia; Rodentia; Muridae
Source: RNAcentral